AGUCAAUUAGGCAGCUCCCCUAUGAGGAAAGGUUGCAAAGUAAGAGGAGACAUGGCAGAGGUCUAUAAAAUUAUGCUGUGGAGAAAGCAGAUAGAGAAAAGUGUUUCUCCCAGUCUCAUAAGCAGUAGAACUCAGAAGUGCGGAGAAGAGCACAGUACAAGAUAUAUGAUGAUGAUUGGGAAUAUUAUAUCCAAGGAAGCUGAAUUCUGGAAAUUUCCGGACACACAGAAGGAGGU
Molecule: non-coding RNA, 236 nt
Organism: Podarcis lilfordi (Lilford's wall lizard)
Lineage: Eukaryota; Metazoa; Chordata; Lepidosauria; Squamata; Lacertidae
Source: the annotation of a GenBank genome assembly